Molecule: small nuclear RNA, 111 nt
Organism: Octopus sinensis (East Asian common octopus)
Lineage: Eukaryota; Metazoa; Mollusca; Cephalopoda; Octopoda; Octopodidae
Source: RefSeq, a predicted model, not a curated record
AUGUUUUGCUUCAGCAAUACAUGUGUACUAAAAUUUGGAGGGAUAUAGAAUAGUUUAGCAUGACCCUUGCGCAAGGGUGACAUGCAAAUACGUGAAGCGUUCCAUAUUUUU